UACGUAGGGUGCAAGCGUUGUCCGGAAUUAUUGGGCGUAAAGAGCUCGUAGGCGGUCUGUCGCGUCUGCUGUGAAAACCCGGGGCUUAACCCCGGGCUUGCUUUCGAUACGGGCAGACUAGAGUGUGGUAGGGGAGACUGGAAUUCCUGGUGUAGCGGUGAAAUGCGCAGAUAUCAGGAGGAACACCGGUGGCGAAGGCGGGUCUCUGGGCCACUACUGACGCUGAGGAGCGAAAGCGUGGGGAGCGAACAGG
RNAcentral lists this ribosomal RNA (253 nucleotides) under uncultured bacterium. RNAcentral's name for it is "partial 16S ribosomal RNA". It matches the Rfam family "Bacterial small subunit ribosomal RNA", at positions 524 to 776 of the family's 1533-position model. The record is from RNAcentral.